UGCUCCACAUUAUUCUGCCCAUGAUCUCCCUAAGCGGUUACCGAACUCUAAAAGUGGCGGUUCAUAGCAGUUCCACACCUUCUCUUCUAUUCAGAAGCAGUUAUCACCGGUUAGUUUCGUUUUCCCUUAAAUCUCUGGACGUCCCAAACUGCUUUUGAGAGGUUAUCACAGGCAGUUUUAGCAAGUCACAAAAUAACUCCCCACUAUCCCCUCUAUCUCCUCAUAAUCCUCAAAUUGUAGAAGAGGUUUUUAGGGUUCUCUAUAAAAACGUCACUCACACACAUUUCACUAUCUUUCUUCUCUCUCGUCAGAACCCCAUCAGACCACCACAUGUACAAACCCUCUGGCGGUAUCUAACUUCGUGAAUCACUCCACUAUCUAUUUGAUUCCUCCAAGUGUGCAAAAUCUAACCGAUUUGAACAAGAGAAGGAUUUGGGUGAUGAAACCCCAAAAAAGUUAUGGUAGUUCGUUCAAAUCUACACAUAUACAUCAAAGGCAAAGCUUUAGCAGCUGCAUCGACAACCGUGAAUGGGUCAAAUUGGAUUGGAUGUUAAAAUCGAUUUUUUUGGAAUUUGGAAGAUUCAUUUGAAGAACACUUGGGAGUCAAAAUGUUGGUGGCAAUUAGUUGACUGCAGGUCGUUAGCUUAAGUACAGUCGGUGCUUUCUUACUUAGAUCCUCAAGAUUUUGGUCUACUGUGGGGGCAGAGGGGGACUUAUGGAGUCGUAUUCAUUAUCUGUCCAAGAACAGCUCAAAACUUGACAGUGGUAUUUUUCAGAUUUUUUUUCUAGUUAACAUAUAAUUAUUUUUUUCUAUUUUUGGUCAUCACAUUUUUUAUGUAAUCCAACAACUGUAGUAGUUGGCAUCUCCAAUACCAUAGUUUAGAAUAUAAUCAAAUGAACUCCUUUCAUACCAUAACAAAUGAAGAUGAUGACAAAGUUGGAAGUUCAAUUGGUAAAGGUGGGUCUAUGAGAAGAAAACUACAGACAGAGACUGGCGCAUCUAUAAAAAUAGUUGAUCCGUCACCUGAUUUAGAUGAACGAGUGGUUAUAUCUGCACGUCAACCAGUUACCCAAACCACCUAACCCGCUCAUCAUGUCACCUCUAUCAGUUGUUACUAAUCGGCUUCUCUCAACCCUCUCUUUAUAGGAUGGUAAUAGAUAUUAUGCUUGAAGAGGUGCUCAUCUUACUUUUAAGCGUGCAGAGAAAGCCCGCACAUCGAUGAAUAGACUUCUAGGAAUGGUGGAAGCUUUAGCUGUGAUAAUAGUGGCAUAGGAUAAUGAAAGGGGUGUUGAGUUUACAUGACAAAUGUAAUAACUUGCUUCAAGCUGAUUUAUGAUAAAUUGGAUGGAUCGAGUAACAACUCAAACACAUGCACUAUUUGUAAGGAUAGAAAGGGGUUGGUUUAGGAAGACCCAAAAUAAUGUGUUCUAACUUCUAAAUUGUUAAGCUUUUAGAAACAAGAAACAACUAGGGUGUCUAUGAUUGCCAAGGUUAUAUUUGUUACAGUAUCAAACUUUUUCAACAAGAAAAUGUUAGAAAUUGACUCAAACACACGUCAACAGGUCAAAAUUAUUAUCUCUUUUGUUCAGCUUGUAUUGUACUGAACUGAACGGUUUUUAAAUUCUAAUAUGUCACGUUUAGGCUUGGCUUCUUUCAAUGCUUGAGGAAUACAAAAUCUUAAGACAACAAAGGAGAAAAGAAAGAGAUAAGAGGGUAUAUAAAAAAGGGGAAGAUUGUCAAUGAAUAGUUGAUGGCUGAAUAGGAAGCACUUUUUGUACAAAGUGCUAAAAAAGGGGGAAGAUUGUCAAUGGGUGGUUUAAGCAACAAAAGAUUAUCAUGUACAAUCAAUUGUGUAGCUUUAUAUGGUGUAAAUGGGUGCCCAUCAAAUGUAAUAUUAUGGCCUGGAGAGGCAACUUAGACAGGCUUCCUACAAGAGUCAAUUUAAGAAGAAGGAAUGUGGAUAUCCCCUCGGUCUUGUGUCCAUUAUGCGGCGACUACGAGGAGACGGUGGACCAUCUAUUCACUGCGUGCUCGGUGGCUUUACGGGUGUGGUCGGUUUUCAGUGAUUGGUGCAAUAUUCCGCCGCUUUUCUUUUUUGAGUUCAAAGACAUUUUAGAAAGUCACAAGCUGAUAAAGAGAGGCAAGAUGGCGAAGAAAAUCAUAUACGGGUUGGGAAUUAUAGCUUGUUGGUGUAUAUGGAAAGGCUGAAACGAUACGGUUUUUAAUCAAAGGAAAUGUAGCGCGAGUGACAUCAUUGGGGAGUUAAAAUCUAGGGGUUAUGAGUGGGUUAAAAACAGAUCUCCUUGUAAGUUUACUAUAUGGGAGGACUGGUGUAAAUAUCCCUUGUAUAUGUUGUAAUAUGUAUGCCCUUUGCCCGUUUGGGUCGGGGGUGUGUUUGUUUGUUUGGCCUUUUGCCCGUUUGGGUCGAAGGUUGUCUUAAUAAAGUUUAUUUUUCAAAAAA
This is a long non-coding RNA of Helianthus annuus (common sunflower), 2462 nucleotides long. RefSeq lists it as uncharacterized. The transcript is spliced from 4 exons. The record is from RefSeq and is a predicted model, not a curated record. Lineage: Eukaryota; Viridiplantae; Streptophyta; Magnoliopsida; Asterales; Asteraceae.